RNAcentral lists this long non-coding RNA (505 nucleotides) under Drosophila guanche. Lineage: Eukaryota; Metazoa; Arthropoda; Insecta; Diptera; Drosophilidae. The record is from RNAcentral.
AGCAGCUAUGCCUGUUGCAUGCAAACGGCGGAGUGACAAGCGAUGCACACCUAAUCGGAGAGUGAGUUUCUCGUCCGAUGUGGAAACUUUGGCCCGAAAUCGUUUUGUUUUCUGCGAUAUUUCCCUCUGUGACGUUCUGUGGCAGCGAUGGUAGAAUCUGUGGUCCCAGAAGGGCAACUCUCACUUAUGCCGACAGCCGGCAGAGCCCUUCCAUUAACUUCUUCGGCCUCUUGUUAGAUUGUCAAUCAACUUCAACGUCACGUCGCACGCUCCUCGAUAAGGGGGAUCUGGCAACAAAGGCUGAAUUGAAAUUACGGUUACGCCCACAUAUUGCUCUCCACAGCAGUGCACUGAAUGCAUCCAAUUCAGGGGAAUGGGGAGUGGGAGCUGUCUGUCAUUGGUAGUCGGGGCGAUUCCGAAGACGUGGCCGGGCAGCAAUUGAACGGUCGCUGGCUCCGCCGCUUAUUGUUAUCAACGAUUGCUGUAAUUUCUGUUUCUGUUGCUG